CUAGAGGUUCGGGCCGAGAAGAGGAGCGAAAGCACAGAGCCGACUUCCCCUCACCCAUCUGGGAAAUGGGCUCGGGCCAACUGCUGACUUCGCGCUCGCUGGCGCAGCUCCCUGCGGAGACCUCGGCGGGGAGGGAGGCUGAACAUCUGGAUGACAUUUCUGCGAGAGCGGCUCCGGAGCGGCGGUCGGGGAGGGAGAGAGAAGCAGGGGACAGAAGCAAUGGCCGAGGCAGAAGACAAGCCGAGGUGCUGGUGACCCUGGGCGUCUGAGUGGAUGAUUGGGGCUGCUGCGCUCAGAGGCCUGCCUCCCUGCCUUCCAAUGCAUAUAACCCCACACCCCAGCCAAUGAAGACGAGAGGCAGCGUGAACAAAGUCAUUUAGAAAGCCCCCGAGGAAGUGUAAACAAAAGAGAAAGCAUGAAUGGAGUGCCUGAGAGACAAGUGUGUCCUGUACUGCCCCCACCUUUAGCUGGGCCAGCAACUGCCCGGCCCUGCUUCUCCCCACCUACUCACUGGUGAUCUUUUUUUUUUUACUUUUUUUUCCCUUUUCUUUUCCAUUCUCUUUUCUUAUUUUCUUUCAAGGCAAGGCAAGGAUUUUGAUUUUGGGACCCAGCCAUGGUCCUUCUGCUUCUUCUUUAAAAUACCCACUUUCUCCCCAUCGCCAAGCGGCGUUUGGCAAUAUCAGAUAUCCACUCUAUUUAUUUUUACCUAAGGAAAA
This 716-nucleotide long non-coding RNA is filed under the name Homo sapiens (human). RNAcentral's name for it is "non-protein coding lnc-TGFB3-4:1". The record is from RNAcentral. Lineage: Eukaryota; Metazoa; Chordata; Mammalia; Primates; Hominidae.